UGUUCUUGCUUUGCAGUGGCAGAGUUUACAGACCAGCCGAGUGAACUGAAAGGCUUCUCCGUUCACACUCGUCUGGUUAAGGGGUCACGGGGGUUCGGCUUCAAUAUAGUGGGAGGCAGCAGGCGGAGGGAAUUCCUGCAGAUCUACAGCAUCACUCCCGGAGGACCUUCCACCCUUCACAUAGCGGAUAUUCUGGUGUACAUCAAUGAUACCUGUGUGCUUGGCUUUUCUCACAAAGAGGUAGUGGAAAUGUUGAAAGCCAUUCCAGUGGGUCACACUGUGGACGUUGUUGUCCGAAGAGGCUACCCCAUGCUCUAUAACUCUGACGGCUGUCCGAAGAUGCCCAAUCCUAGGCUAACAGCAUCCCUAGACCAGUCACUAUAUCUACCUCCACCAACCACCACCCAACCCCAGGCCCAGGCUCCUCUCCCAUAUGCUCAGCUACACCUCAACCACAAUGGGCCCAUGUGGUCUGAUUUUGAGAGGGGAUCCUCAAGGAAUCUCAGAGUACGGGCAUCAAGGUUCAGUUUGGAUGCUAAUGGUAAUUCAUCUCCAUUUGCUUCUCCUUCAAGACAGCCAUCAUCAUACCAGUACUCUAACGGGUAUGGGAGUGGGUUCCUGAGACCACCACGCUCUGCCCGAAGCAUCAGGAGGUUACAGAGUGCAGAACUGGCCAGCCAGAGUGACAGCGAGGUGGUGUCUGCGAUUGGAUCCCAUAGGGCCUCGUUUAUCCGUAACCACAACAACAACUCUCUGUCCACUCCACCACCUCUCCGCCUGCACUCCUUCAAAUCUUCUGAGAGUGACCUUUCCUCGAGUACUCCACCACCCAUAUCUCGAUUGCCCCUGCCCCACACUGAAGUAAGUCCAGGCCCUAUCUCUUUCUCUCCUGGAGGAGGAAGGCGCUACUCUCAUCUCCGUAAACCCCAGCAUUCACUGCUAACCCCACCUAGCAGCGCCCAUUCUGACGGGCCUUACUUCACCUUCAACGGCACAGCCAGUGCCAGCAGCGGCAGCCCGAACAGCAGCAUUCCUUCACCUGGAGCCAUGAGCGCUGUGAUCGGGAGUGGAAUUGGAAGAAUGGAGGGUAGUGGGGAAUUAGUCCCCGUUGCUUUGGCUAAAUGUGAGAGGGGCAGCAAUAUGGGGUUCAGUGUCACGGCAGGAGGUCACGGAGGAAGACAGACCCUCGUGAAGAAAGUCUGGGACCACAGACAGUGUAUCGGACUGCAGCCUGGAGAUGCCAUUGUGAAGAUCAAUGGAGCAGAUGUACAGAGUCUCAGCUUUGCACAGGUCCAAAGGAUUUUGCAAGAACACACUAAAAAGGGGGAGGUUAUUCUGCUGGUUUACAGAGGGGGUACGUUAUAUAUGUUCACCCAUUCCAUAAUAC
This 1387-nucleotide long non-coding RNA is filed under the name Sinocyclocheilus grahami. RNAcentral's name for it is "lncRNA (ENSSGRG00000055470.1)". Lineage: Eukaryota; Metazoa; Chordata; Actinopteri; Cypriniformes; Cyprinidae. The record is from RNAcentral.